Molecule: long non-coding RNA, 1744 nt
Organism: Tripterygium wilfordii
Lineage: Eukaryota; Viridiplantae; Streptophyta; Magnoliopsida; Celastrales; Celastraceae
Exons: 6
Source: RefSeq, a predicted model, not a curated record
GCCCAAAUGUUUACAAGUACUUGAGAGUCUUUUGGAACUGAAUAGUUCAUCACUUGACACGAUUCGUGUGCGCGGUGAGGAAGGAGAAGUGGCGCUGGAGGAUGCAGCCUUAAUGUUUCUUUUACACAUGCUUGUAGAAGCAAGAAAUUCGAAGUCAGCACCAAUUCUGAUUCAGAGUAAGAGCAGAGUGAAACAGUGUAUUUAACGAGAAAUAUUUUGACUGAAGUUGCAAGCUUCAGUAAAUGUUCUUAGUUUCAGUUUGAGCAAGAAAGCAAAUAAUUUCACGUUACAGUUUACACACCAACCAAACAACAAUGUAUCUUUACUUUGUUACAGGACAAUUGUUUAUUUAGCAUAGUUUGUGAGAAACAAUUUCACAUGCACAUUACAGCCACCAAAUGACAAAUUAUGUUUUCAUGUGCAAAGAUUUUGGAUAUGAAAUGAGUUGAGAGUUGUAGUUUGUCUAUUUUACGACUCUGGAAGUAGGAAUGAGAAGCAGAGGUUGUUCCUUCUGCAGUGUCACACCAAACUUGUCGCUCAUAUCUAGUUCCUUGGGUUUGGCUCCAUUUGACAUGUCAAAGAAAUGGAGCAUUGAAGCAAGAACCAAGGGUACUUGCUUCGCAGCCAUCGAAAGUCCAGGGAAAAUUCCUCUUCCACCCCCAAAAGGUAUUGAGUACCUCAUCACUUCACAAGUUUGAGACGCUCGGUGAUGAAGGAGAAGUGGUGCUGGAGGAUGCAGCCUCAAGGUUUCUUUGACACAGGCUUGUAGGUAAAUUAGUUGAGAGUCACACCAAACUUCUCGCUCAUAUCUAAUUCAUUGGGAUUGGCUCCAUUUGGAAGUGACCAGUCAAAGAAAUGGAGCGGUGAAGCAAGAACCAAGGGUACUUGCUUCGCAGCCAUUGGAAGUCCAGGGCAGAUUCUUCUUCCACCGCCAAAAGGUAUUGAGUACCUCAUCACUUCACAAGUUUCAGAUGCUCGGUGAGGAAGGAGAAGUGGUGCUGGAGGAUGUAGCCUCAAGGUUUCUUUGACACAGGCUUGCAGGUAAGUUAAUUGAGGUAACUAAGCAGAAGAAGCUGUCGGAAUGAGAUGCGGUCUUCAACAAACUUUUCGAGACCAUUUCAAGCUUUUCGGAAAGUGCUGAUUCACACAAAUCCGAGUCCGCUUGGGCCUCUGAAUGCUACUCCGAAGUCAGGUCUGGAAAUCCUAUGAAAGCACGAUUCCUGUCUGUGGAUUAAGCCCAUAACUUGAGCAUAUGAUGUCCAAAUCGAGUAAUUCAAAAGCUCAGAGUUAUCUACACAUACGGAGCUACAACUUUGAUGAGGAGUUUCAGUUCAGAAUAUGCUUCGUUUGGCUCAGAAUUCGGUUGCGAGUUUGUGGAAAGACUUUGUUUUCUAAACAGUUAAGGAAGCUGAGUUGUUUUGGAGGUCUCGAGUUAGGGACUCCUAAGGGAUAUGGGAUGUAACUAAUUCUAUAUAAGGGGACGGCAAGGAUUAAGGAUGGACACACAAAGGUCCCACGUAUUCACAUAGAACGUAGGUUUACUUCACACUAUGAGCGGCUAAUUUAUUUCUUUGGGUAAAGGGAUUGGACUCCAGUUCAUGUAAUUUUGAGACUCGUCGGUUCAUCGUAAUUUAUCAUCAUUCUUAACUCGAAUAUCUGUAGUUCUCUAUUAUUCUUGUCAAUGAUUGCAUGGAAUGAUCGAUUGAGAUGCAUGUUGAUUGAUAGUUCGUGCGAUUAAAUGCUA